UGCCCAACCAUAAACCUAGACUGCAAACCCUACUAGCAGUUCGCCAGAAGAUUACAAGUGAAAAACUUAAAACUCAAAGGACUUGACGGUGUUCCACACAACCUAGAGGAGCCUGUCCCAUAAUCGAUACCCCACGCUAAACCUCACCCCCUCUUGCAAACCCAGCCUAUAUACCGCCGUCAAAAUUUAAAGCCCACCUUGUGAAAGCCCCACCACGGGCACAAUAAUCAACCGUUAAAACGUCAGGUCAAGGUGUAGCUAACGAGGGGGCCGCGAGAUGGGCUACAUUGUCUAAUAUAAACUAUCACCCUAAGCGUCAUGAAACCAACGCCAAUAAGGCGGAUUUAGCAGUAAACCAGGCAAGACAUGCCUGCUUGAACCCAGCCCUGGAACACGUACAC
RNAcentral lists this ribosomal RNA (401 nucleotides) under Saurodactylus mauritanicus. Its description in RNAcentral is "partial 12S ribosomal RNA". It matches the Rfam family "Bacterial small subunit ribosomal RNA", at positions 793 to 1388 of the family's 1533-position model. The record is from RNAcentral. Lineage: Eukaryota; Metazoa; Chordata; Lepidosauria; Squamata; Sphaerodactylidae.